AUCAACUUUGUCCUCCUUUCAGCUACGGUACCCAACACAAUUGAAUUUGCAGACUGGAUUGGUCGUACAAAACAAAAGCAAAUUCGUGUUACUGGGACGACCAAAAGACCUGUCCCUUUGGAACAUUGUCUCUUCUAUUCUGGGGAGCUUUACAAAGUGUGUGAGAAUGAAGAGUUUCUGCCUCAUGGAUUUAGAGCAGCCAAAGAUGUACAUAAGAAGAAGACCACAAGUUCUGUCUCUGGCGGCGCCGGCUUGCGUCCUGGGUCUUCAACAGCUGCUGAUAAGGGUCGAGGGCAGAGGCGUGAUAGCUCUUCUCAGGCAAAGCAGCACAAGCAUUCUGGUCCCCAAAGAUUGGGGAAUUUUGGUGGUGGUUGGGGAACGCAAAGCACUGGGCCUGGACAGAAUGUUA
RNAcentral lists this unclassified non-coding RNA (409 nucleotides) under Hevea brasiliensis (rubber tree). Lineage: Eukaryota; Viridiplantae; Streptophyta; Magnoliopsida; Malpighiales; Euphorbiaceae. The record is from RNAcentral.